Pelobates cultripes (western spadefoot toad) is the source of this 204-nucleotide non-coding RNA. The record is from the annotation of a GenBank genome assembly. NCBI's taxonomy places the organism in Eukaryota, Metazoa, Chordata, Amphibia, Anura, Pelobatidae.
GCAGAAUACGGCACCAUACACACCUCAAUUUAAAAAAUAGGACCGGCACGCUACGGGACAUCACAGUCCUAUAUCGGCACAGUGCUGCUAAAAGGUUUUCCAAUAUUAUGUGUGCUUGCAUACAAGGGCUUUUUUUCACAUACAUAUUGAAUUUGGAGAAUUUGUGUUUUCUACUAUUUCAGAAAGUCAAAUUUGUAUUCAGAU